AACAACGCUGGCGGCGUGCUUAACACAUGCAAGUCGAGUGCGCGCCUGUAGCAAUACAGGUGGCGCACGGCGCACGGGUGCGUAACACGUGGGCAAUCUGCCCUUCGAUGGGGAAUAACUCCGGGAAACCGAAGCUAAUUCCGCAUAACAUUCCUUGGACUCCGGUUCGAGGACUCAAAGCCGUAAGGCGUCGAAGGAGGAGCCCGCGCCCGAUUAGCUAGUUGGCGAGGUAACGGCUCACCAAGGCAAUGAUCGGUAGCUGGUCUGAGAGGAUGGCCAGCCACACUGGAACUGAGACACGGUCCAGACUCCUACGGGAGGCAGCAGUGGGGAAUCUUGCACAAUGGGCGAAAGCCUGAUGCAGCGACGCCGCGUGGGGGAUGAAGCAUUUCGGUGUGUAAGCCCCUUUCGACCGGGAAGAAUGCCCGCAAGGGAGUGACGGUACCGGUAUAAGAAGCCCCGGCUAACUACGUGCCAGCAGCCGCGGUAAGACGUAGGGGGCCAGCGUUGUUCGGAAUUACUGGGUGUAAAGGGUUCGUAGGCGGUGUGGCAAGUCGGGAGUGAAAUCUAUGGGCUUAACCCAUAGCUGCUUCCGAAACUGCUGUGCUUG
RNAcentral lists this ribosomal RNA (610 nucleotides) under uncultured bacterium. Its description in RNAcentral is "bacterial SSU rRNA". It matches the Rfam family "Bacterial small subunit ribosomal RNA", at positions 28 to 644 of the family's 1533-position model. The record is from RNAcentral.